CAACAGGGAUUGCCCUAGUAACGGCGAGUGAAGCGGCAACAGCUCAAAUUUGAAAUCUGGCUCUCGGGCCCGAGUUGUAAUUUGUAGAGGAUACUUUUGAUGCGGUGCCUUCCGAGUUCCCUGGAACGGGACGCCAUAGAGGGUGAGAGCCCCGUCUGGUUGGAUGCCAAAUCUCUGUAAAGUUCCUUCGACGAGUCGAGUAGUUUGGGAAUGCUGCUCUAAAUGGGAGGUAUAUGUCUUCUAAAGCUAAAUACCGGCCAGAGACCGAUAGCGCACAAGUAGAGUGAUCGAAAGAUGAAAAGCACUUUGAAAAGAGAGUUAAAAAGUACGUGAAAUUGUUGAAAGGGAAGCGUUUAUGACCAGACUUGGGCUUGGUUGAUCAUCUGGGGUUCUCCCCAGUGCACUCUUCCAGUCCAGGCCAGCAUCAGUUUUCGCCGGGGGAUAAAGACUUCGGGAAUGUGGCUCUCUUCGGGGAGUGUUAUAGCCCGUUGUGUAAUACCCUGGCGGGGACUGAGGUUCGCGCAUCUGCAAGGAU
RNAcentral lists this ribosomal RNA (535 nucleotides) under Fusarium brevicatenulatum. Its description in RNAcentral is "eukaryotic LSU rRNA". It matches the Rfam family "Eukaryotic large subunit ribosomal RNA", at positions 66 to 624 of the family's 3401-position model. The record is from RNAcentral. Lineage: Eukaryota; Fungi; Ascomycota; Sordariomycetes; Hypocreales; Nectriaceae. RNAcentral also lists the same sequence under 2 other names.